This is a long non-coding RNA of Ailuropoda melanoleuca (giant panda), 656 nucleotides long. RefSeq lists it as uncharacterized. The transcript has 5 exons. The record is from RefSeq and is a predicted model, not a curated record. Lineage: Eukaryota; Metazoa; Chordata; Mammalia; Carnivora; Ursidae.
CCUGAGCCAAAAUCAAGAGCCAGACGCUUAACCGACUGAGCCACCCAGGCACCCCAAAAUGAAUGUGAACCAGCUUGAACAUGGAUUCUAGGGAGUGGUAGAGCCUCCAAAUAGAAGCGAUCUAUAUUCCUGAAAGAUGUUCAGCAGACGAGGCAGGGAUGCGGAUGAGAGGUCUGAAGCUGGAACAGCCUUUUUGUGACCCUGAAGGAAAAGGAGAAUCAGAGCUUUUGCUGGAAUUCUGUAGAGGAAUGCCUCCUUUGUCGCUUACCUUCGUCACGUGAACGCAGCAGGAACCGGAGGCGUGGUCAGAGUGGUGACGGAGAUGACCAGAGAAUCAGAGAAUGGCUUCAAGUAUGACUGACCAGAAUGGCUUCUACUCUUCACUCCUGUGUUAACGAUUGCUCAGACUUUUUCAAGAAAUGUGUAGAAACAUGUGUGAGGCGCAGCAUGCUUCUCUUAUUUUGCUGAUAAAGACUCUCUGGCAUUAGCCAAACAGGCUUCUUGGAACAGUGACCAUUUUUAAUGGCAAGCAACCGUGUCCUCCAACAAAAACCACCCUUUCACAUCUUUUUUCUAAGCAGUUUGCUGAUUUCCAUAGAGAGACAGCCAGCGAGAGAAGGAACACAAGCCGGGGGAAUGGGAGAGGAAGAAGCAGG